RNAcentral lists this ribosomal RNA (440 nucleotides) under uncultured bacterium. Its description in RNAcentral is "bacterial SSU rRNA". It matches the Rfam family "Bacterial small subunit ribosomal RNA", at positions 338 to 795 of the family's 1533-position model. The record is from RNAcentral.
CCUACGGGGGGCAGCAGUGGGGAAUAUUGGACAAUGGGGGCAACCCUGAUCCAGCAAUGCCGCGUGUGUGAUGAAGGCCUUAGGGUUGUAAAGCACUUUCACUGGUGAAGAUGAUGACGGUAACCAGAGAAGAAGCCCCGGCUAACUUCGUGCCAGCAGCCGCGGUAAUACGAAGGGGGCGAGCGUUGUUCGGAAUUACUGGGCGUAAAGGGAGCGCAGGCGGUUCAUUCAGUUAGGCGUGAAAGCCCCGGGCUCAACCUGGGAACUGCGCUUAAUACUGAUGAGCUAGAAAACAGGAGAGGGUAGUGGAAUUUCCAGUGUAGAGGUGAAAUUCGUAGAUAUUGGAAAGAACACCGGUGGCGAAAGCGGCUACCUGGCCUGGUUUUGACGCUGAGGCUCGAAAGCGUGGGGAGCAAACAGGAUUAGAUACCCGGGUAGUC